CCUACGGGCGGCAGCAGUGGGGAAUAUUGGACAAUGGGGGGAACCCUGAUCCAGCCAUGCCGCGUGUGUGAAGAAGGCCCUCGGGUUGUAAAGCACUUUCAGUGAGGAAGAACGCCUGGUGGUUAAUACCCAUCAGGAAAGACAUCACUCACAGAAGGAGCACCGGCUAACUCCGUGCCUGCAGCCGCGGUAAUACGGAGGGUGCGAGCGUUAAUCGGAAUUACUGGGCGUAAAGCGCGCGUAGGUGGCUUGAUAAGCCGGUUGUGAAAGCCCCGGGCUCAACCUGGGAACGGCAUCCGGAACUGUCAAGCUAGAGUGCAGGAGAGGAAGGUAGAAUUCCCGGUGUAGCGGUGAAAUGCGUAGAGAUCGGGAGGAAUACCAGUGGCGAAGGCGGCCUUCUGGACUGACACUGACACUGAGGUGCGAAAGCGUGGGUAGCAAACAGGAUUAGAUACCCUAGUAGUC
RNAcentral lists this ribosomal RNA (465 nucleotides) under Vreelandella stevensii. RNAcentral's name for it is "partial 16S ribosomal RNA". It matches the Rfam family "Bacterial small subunit ribosomal RNA", at positions 338 to 795 of the family's 1533-position model. Lineage: Bacteria; Pseudomonadati; Pseudomonadota; Gammaproteobacteria; Oceanospirillales; Halomonadaceae. The record is from RNAcentral.